CCUACGGGUGGCAGCAGUGAGGAAUCUUGGUCAAUGGACGAGAGUCUGACCCAGCAACGUCGCGUGAAGGAUGACUGCCCUCUGGGUUGUAAACUUCUUUUUUAUGGGAAUAAACUGUUCCACGUGUGGGAUUUUGUAUGUACCCUAUGAAUAAGGAUCGGCUACCUCCGUGCCCGCAGCCGCGGUCAUACUGAGGAUCCGAGCGUUAGCCGGAUUUAUUUGGUUUAAAGGUAGCGGAGGUGGAUUCUUAAGUCAGGUGGGAAAGUUUGCGGCUCAAACGUAAAAUUGCAGUUGAUACUGGCAGUCUUGAGUACAGGAGAGGUGGGCGGAAUUCGUGGUGUAGCGGUGAAAUGCUUAGAUAUAACGAAGAACUCCGAUUGCGAAGGCAGCUCACUGGACUGCAACUGACACUGAGGCUCGAAAGUGUGGGUAGCAAACAGGAUUAGAUACCCGAGUAGUC
RNAcentral lists this ribosomal RNA (460 nucleotides) under uncultured bacterium. Its description in RNAcentral is "partial 16S ribosomal RNA". It matches the Rfam family "Bacterial small subunit ribosomal RNA", at positions 338 to 795 of the family's 1533-position model. The record is from RNAcentral.